Molecule: ribosomal RNA, 468 nt
Filed under: uncultured bacterium
Lineage: Bacteria
Description: partial 16S ribosomal RNA
Rfam family: Bacterial small subunit ribosomal RNA
Source: RNAcentral
GACGAACGCUGGCGGCGUGCUUAACACAUGCAAGUCGAACGGAAAGGCCCUGCUUUUGUGGGGUGCUCGAGUGGCGAACGGGUGAGUAACACGUGAGUAACCUGCCCUUGACUUUGGGAUAACUUCAGGAAACUGGGGCUAAUACCGGAUAGGAGCUCCUGCUGCAUGGUGGGGGUUGGAAAGUUUCGGCGGUUGGGGAUGGACUCGCGGCUUAUCAGCUUGUUGGUGGGGGAGUGGCUUACCAAGGCUUUGACGGAUCGCCGGCAUGGGAGGGUGACCGGCCACAUUAGGACUGGGAUACGGCCCAGUCUCCAACGGGAGACAGCAGUGGGGAAUAUUACACAAUAGGCGGAAGCCUGAUACAACAACGCCGCGUGCGGGAUGACGGCCUUCGGGUUGUAAACCGCUUUCGCCUGUGACGAAGCGUGAGUGACGGUAAUGGAUAAAGAAGCACCGGCUAACUACGUG